Molecule: microRNA, 22 nt
Filed under: Chrysemys picta bellii (western painted turtle)
Lineage: Eukaryota; Metazoa; Chordata; Testudines; Emydidae
Description: Cpi-Mir-96-P1_3p* (star (passenger))
Source: RNAcentral
CAAUUAUGUGUAGUGCCAAUCU